RNAcentral lists this long non-coding RNA (2104 nucleotides) under Equus asinus (donkey). RNAcentral describes it as "lncRNA (ENSEASG00005030697.1)". Lineage: Eukaryota; Metazoa; Chordata; Mammalia; Perissodactyla; Equidae. The record is from RNAcentral.
UGACUCGACUGUAAGGGCUCUUGGUACUAACUUGAACCCUGGAGGUGCAGAUCCCUGGAGAAACAAUCACUGAAGAUGGAGCUCUGAGCCCCUCCUUAACUCCUUCUCAUAAUACCUGUAUGCGAAGGUGGUUUUAAGUUUGGCUGAGAACCUAUCUUCCAGAGCAGGCUUCCUUCCCUUCCAUGCUCUAGAAUGUUUCUGGCUAAGGUGACAAAUAAGGCAACCAAAAUGUGACUCUGUUCAGUAUCUGGAGGCAGGGAGGGCCCACAGCAUGCCGUGACUGGAAUUGUGGUCCCGGGUCUUGACCCAUGGUGCAGCAUAUAUCCAAACCAGGCCACCUGUGUUCAAUCCAGGAGCCUCACCUGCCAGUCCGAGUGGCAGCCAGGUAGAAGUGUACACUGUGCAGGAGUCUCAGACAAGGCAGAUUGGAGUGCUGCGGGCAGGGCCAGGGGCCAUGUUAGAGGAUGGGAGAGGGCAUCUUAAGCACUGUGCUCUCCCUCCCUGACCUCCUGCAGAGCUGGUUUCAGCAGUGAGUCACACAGAAUUAGACUGCCUUCUUGCAUUACCUGGUAGGUAACAGCUUUCUGAAUUCAGGAGGCGGUUAGUAAGUUUGAGCAUAUGAAAUCUGAAAGAGGCGUCCGUGGGUAGGGAGUUUGAUAACUUUACAGGUAGGAUGAUAACACACCAACAGGAACCGAGGACAGUAAGACUGUGUGAGACUGUGUGAGCUUUUAGGAAUCAUUGAGGACAGGCAGAGGUCCUGAACCACCCAUUCAUGACUUAGGAGUGUAGCCUAGACAGCACUGGAGGGACUGCUCCUGAAACAUGCUGGCCCAGUGUGUGCUGGGACCAAAGGAAAAACUAACACAUUGUCCUGCAUUUGUGUAAAUCCUCAUAUGCUUCCCGUGAGUGACCUCCUAAGGCUUGGGUUGUACACCUUGAAGAAUGCCAACACUGGAGAAGGGGCGUGGUGAGAACACUGAUUCUUCCUCACCUUGGAGGGACAGGCUAAGAGGGGGGAAGUGGUUGAAGUCUCUUGAGUCAUGUUCUCCAGUUCUAGACUUCUCCAACCACACUUCUUGAAAUGUAAAAGGAAGCUUUCCUCUACCUAUCAUAUAGCAGACCUGGAGUCCAUAACCUCAGAAGGUAAUACUACUAGCGAAAAAUGUAGAAGGAUCAGGAAGGCUGUCAUUAAAGUCUUUGGGUGACAGAUGAGUGUUGAUGCACUAUGGAAGACGUCCUUGUGCUUUGAGAAGAGGUCCCUGAUGGAGGAAGACUUUCUGUCUGUUCUUAACCUCACCACUAGAACAGUCUUGGGCUGGAUGGUUUAUAGAGCUGAGUUGCUGUGAUGGCUCUGUUCUUACAUUAGCAGAAACAGUGGAAAAAAAUAAAAAUAACUUUGGAUUGCUUCAACUUCUUUUCAGUUGACUUCUCAUGUUUAUUCUGGGAACCACCCAAUGAAGUGGCACAGAAAAUAAAAGCUAAGAUAAUGUGGUAAAGCCAGUAAUCAUCUCACUGAUGCCUGGUGCCAUGAGGUGGGUACUGUAAUUCCGUUUUUACAGGUGAGGAAACUGAGGCACAGAGAAGUCACAGCAGGAAGUGGCAGAAACAGGACUGGAGCCCAUACAGUCUGAAGCCAGUGUCUGUUCUACUCUGCACUGUGCUGGGUUCUGAGAUGGGAGACCAGAAGUGGAGAUUAGCCCAGGAGGCAUUCUCAUAGACAGGGAGCCUGACAGUUUCUGCUACUUGCCUCAUGACGUCAGCUGACUUGGACUUGCCAGGGACCAGUUGUCACCGGACUUUGUCGCUGUGGGCCUUUGUGGAUGGCCAGUCUCUCUUUCAGUUCAAAUUCUGAGCACAGUGAACCUCGUUGGCUCAGUCUUGCUCAUGCGUUGGCUCCUCUCCCACCCCAGUCCAGUAAUAGUGUCCAGAGGAUGAAGUCAUGUGAGCCAACACCUUUCUAAGGAGAGAGUAGAAAGGAUAAAACAAACAAAACUGUUGGGCUAUUCAGAUGUGUGUGUUUGGUUUUUAACUUGCAGUUGUAGUUUAGAGAAGUCCCAUGUUUUCUUUAUCCAGUUUCCCCCAAUGCUUACAUCUGACAUAA